This is a long non-coding RNA of Canis lupus familiaris (dog), 1787 nucleotides long. RefSeq lists it as uncharacterized. Lineage: Eukaryota; Metazoa; Chordata; Mammalia; Carnivora; Canidae. The record is from RefSeq and is a predicted model, not a curated record. The transcript is spliced from 3 exons.
AAUAACUGUAGAAUUGUCUGUUUUCACCCCAUGGGCAUGUAUUGAGUAGGGCCUUGUGGCCAUAUUUUUAAAGGUAAUUCUAAUUUUAUCUCCAACAUCUCCACGAAGUUGUGGACCUGGCAAAAGUAAGAAAGAAGAGUGGCUUAUACCUAUCAGAUGCAAAAUUCUAACUCAGUAAUGGAAGCAAAUAUCAGGUAACUUUCUUAGCAUUAAGGCCAGAGUCUAUUCCUCCCCCCGCCCAAACUUUGGCUUCAUACUAUACUACUCUUGGAUUUACACCUGGCCUCAGAAGAUUCAGAAUAAAAACACUAGUAAUGGUUGCCUCUAUAAAUGGAAACCCAGGGUGCAUCUCUCAUCAAGAGUGCUAUGGGAGGUUUUGGCCUAAAAGUCCCCUGCAGGGCAAUGCCCCAAUCUUGAUGAGUCAACUAUGACCCUACACUGGCCAAGAGUCAUUGUAUAGCACUUGCUCUCAUUUCUCAGCAUUUGGACUUCCAGGCCUUCUUGAGUGUGAGUUUAUGGCAGUACUGCAUUUGGAAGAGUGGGUGGGGCCACCCCCUCCCAUUUCUACCUUCUCUCUAGCCAAUCUUAGCUUGUCUGCUGCUAGGAGAAUUUCUGAGACCCAGCAACAAUGCCAUUCUCCCUCGCAUGUCUUCUUCCAGGGGUUGAGGAUAGCAAGCCCCAGGGUACUCUGUUAGUAUGGAAAUACAGUGGGGCUGGGAAUGAUGUCCCUUGCACUGGGUAAUCUUGAAGAAAUUUCCCAAGACCAAUGUUGGUCAAAUUCUUCGACAUUCUCUCUUAAAAGGAUUUCUGAAAAAAGGAAAGCAACUCUUCCAUGCCUUGUGUACAGCAACAAUUUUUCUUUUCUUUAUUUCCUUGUCUAUAUGUACUUUUAUUUCUUGGAGUUAAUCACUCACAUGGCUAUUUUAAAGACAAAUAGCUAUGACUUGGGAGGGGGAGAUGGGCAGAAUAACAGGGAGAGUCUGACUAAGAUUUUCAUUAGAAAAUAAUUUCUAGGAAUUUCACCAAAAAGAUAGGCAUCAAUUUGACGAACACCAAAUACAUACAAUUUCAUUAGUAUAUGGGAUAAUGCUUUGUUUCUAAGAGAGGUAAGCGAUAUUUUUAUUAUGCCAUAUUCUUUAGUAAGUAUAGGCUUCUUGUUUUUAUUGUAUAACUUUUAUUUUUAUUUGAAUACCUUUGACUAUGAACUGGGAAGUUAAACCUGUGGACAUGUACUCUUAUUGCACAUAGUAUCACAUCGCUACCCCACACCGAUGAUUAAAGUACCUAGAAUUCCCAGAUGUUCUUCUCUGUUUUCUCUCUUCACAGGAACUCUGAAUGUGCUGUCCAUGUACCGCCGGUACACAACUUUCUUGUACUUGGAGCCUAUGUAAAACUCUUUCUUAUCUAAAAAUGCAUUCGAAACACUUAAACAAAACAGACACACGACUAAGUCCUACAUUCCAAUGACCUUCUGGUUACCUGUAUCUCAGCCGUGACUCUGGGGUCAUGCAGACACAUGGACCAUUUGGCUGAUGUAGGAGACUACCCAGACCGCCUUAGCAGAGAUAGAGUUUAUCCCCAGUUAGCCUGGGACGUGACAACGGCCACAUCAUGUUCUCACACAGGAAUUUCAGAGAAAAGUACUAAACCAAGAUUGGAAUUGGGGCUCCCUGGGUGGCUCAGCGGUUUGGCACCUGCCUUCAGCCCACAGUGUGAUCCUGGAGUCCUGGGAUCGAGGCCCGCAUCCGGCUCCCUGCAUGGAGCCUGCUUCUCCCUCUGCCCGUGUC